GCCGGGCGUGGUGACUCAUGUCUGUAAUCCCAGCACUUUAGGAGGCUGAGGCGGGUGGAUCACCUGAGGUCAGGAGUUCUAGACCAGCCUGGCCAACAUGGUGAAACCCCGUCUCUA
This is an unclassified non-coding RNA of Macaca fascicularis (crab-eating macaque), 117 nucleotides long. It matches the Rfam family "Metazoan signal recognition particle RNA". From Rfam's summary of the family: The signal recognition particle (SRP) is a universally conserved ribonucleoprotein. The record is from Ensembl. Lineage: Eukaryota; Metazoa; Chordata; Mammalia; Primates; Cercopithecidae.